GAAUUAAUAGUAGAUGGCCAGCUGGCCCUUUUCAGUUAUAGAUAUUUCCUCCCCUCUCUGACAUUCCCUAAAUUCACGCUGAAAUAUUCCCUCCAUUGGACCCUCUCUCAUUUUAUUUUGAGCAUAGUAUAUAUACACUCAUUGGCAUAGAAUUGAAUUCAUGGAUUCACGUCUGCAUUCACCGAUUCUCUCAUAUAGGAAUUCUGUAUUUUUCAGAAAACAUCACUAACUCUCCAAAUUUCAGAAUCUUUUCUUCAUUUUUACCUUGAAUUCUUGGCAGAAAACUUGACAUUCUUCUGUCCACACUGAUUCCUUUUAAAAACAAAAUCUAAAGUUCAAAAAUAGAUAUAGAAAACGAAAAAGGAAAAAAAAGGAAGGGACAAAGUUAUUUUGUUCUUCUAUCUUUACUGGUUUGCUUCAUCUUUUGUCUGUGAUUUCGAAUAGCUUUCAAGCUGUUGGAACUGUGUGUUCGAUUGUGAGCUUGCUGCUAUUUUUGUUAGUUGGAUCUUCACUUUCCAUCUUUGAUUCAGAUUUGUCAAGUUUCAUCUCUUGAUUCUGCUUCUAGUAAGGCUUUGGCCUCAUGACCUCAUUACUACUCUACCGAGGUUAGGCUUGACACUUAUUGGGUACCGUUGUGGUAUACUCAUGCUACGCUUCUGCACAUCUUUUGUAUAGAUCCAGGUACCUCCUACCAAUCGAGGCAUCAGUAAGCUAUGUUCGUACUUGGAGUCUUCAAGGUACACCUGUCGGUGUCCGCAUGCCGCAGAGUCACUUUCUAUCUAUUUCUAUGUUUUUCCUCUUUUUAUUAGAUACGGUUGUAUAGGGAUGACUAUGAUACCGUUGUAUAUCUUGUGAUUCGAUAUCACCAAGUUUUGGGAAAAUUGUAUAUGUUGAGCAGCGGAGUUUAUUUUAUAUAGUUGCAGAGUAUUUAAGAGCUUAUUUGAUAUUUCAA
Non-coding RNA from Nicotiana tabacum (common tobacco), 952 nucleotides. Lineage: Eukaryota; Viridiplantae; Streptophyta; Magnoliopsida; Solanales; Solanaceae. The record is from RefSeq and is a predicted model, not a curated record.